CCUACGGGCGGCAGCAGUGAGGAAUAUUGGUCAAUGGGCGAGAGCCUGAACCAGCCAAGUCGCGUGAGGGAGUACUGCCCUAUGGGUUGUAAACCUCUUUUGUCGGGGAGCAAAAGCCGGACGUGUCCGGCUGUGAGAGUACCCGAAGAAAAAGCAACGGCUAACUCCGUGCCAGCAGCCGCGGUAAUACGGAGGAUGCGAGCGUUAUCCGGAUUUAUUGGGGUUAAAGGGUGCGCAGGCGGAUUUUUAAGUCAGCGGUCAAAUCGUGGGGCUCAACCCCGUCCAGCCGUUGAAACUGGGGAUCUAGAGUGUGCGGGAGGUAUGCGGAAUGCGUGGUGUAGCGGUGAAAUGCAUAGAUAUCGCGCAGAACCCCGAUUGCGAAGGCAGCAUACCGGUGCACCACUGACGCUCAGGCACGAAAGCGUGGGUAUCGAACAGGAUUAGAUACCCCAGUAGUC
Molecule: ribosomal RNA, 458 nt
Filed under: uncultured bacterium
Lineage: Bacteria
Description: partial 16S ribosomal RNA
Rfam family: Bacterial small subunit ribosomal RNA
Source: RNAcentral